GUAGAGUAUGAUCCUGUGUCCAUCAACACUUCCUAACGUGCAUGUAGAAGCUAAAAUUGUUAAGAUUUGCGAAAUACUUUUACCUCGAAGUUGGCAGUGACAUCAUUCUGUUUUUUCCUGGGUGCGGAGGAGUAAUUUCAGAAGGAGACAUUUUGUAAAAUUAAAAGAGGCAUGAGCUCCUCCUUCCUGGCAACCUGGGGGAUCACAAAGACAGACGGCACCUCCCCAGGCACCUGCGCCUGUGUCCGACGGCAAAGCCAUUGUCAAGCGAACCUGAUGCUGUCACUGGUCACCCGGAGCCCAUCAGCAUGUUGACCCGGGGCCCAUCAGCAUGUUGAAGGCACUUUCUUGCUGUUACAGGGGAGGAACUGCUAAAGAGGCCACCAGACACAGAACACAGUGAUAGUUUUAGGUGUAAAAUUAUUGCACACAGAUAAAUUCUGGAAACAGCUGCCUAGAAAGUUCUUUAUAUUGGAAAGUGUGCUUUGAGGUCAUUAUGCCGGAUUUUAUGGCCAUUUCUUGGCUGAGCCCCGGGAUGGCUUAUGUCUUUGCAGAAAGGCAUCAUCACAUUUUAUGAAUGACAGAUGGCUUUUACCACACCUUUGCAUGAUCGCUUAUGGUAAUAGGACUGCGGUGCCCUGAGACGUGGGGAUCUGCGUGAGUGCCCCCGGCAAAGUCUGCUCUUCCGGCCUCGAAUCUGGAUCCCAGUGGAGCAGUCACCACCGCACCCUCCCCGUAGCUCCAUCCCCACGCGUCCAGGAUAGCGUGGCCGCUGGUCAGCUGCCGACAGCACACAUAAGAAGUCAUGGAUGGGUCCGAGCGGCUUCCAGGACUCAGCACCCAAAGCAGCCCCGUCCUGACGGUAACAAGCCUGCCCCAUGGGGCGAGGCCCUCUCCCCUCUUCCUCAGAUUCACCCAACCCACUUCUGUCUGUCAAGAGCAGGCUUGAGGAACAGUCAAGCUUGAGUUCUCUUGGCCUUUCCUGGACAUCUGUCCUGAGGCUGCUCUCAUUUAAGCCUCACGGAGGAAACCCAAGUUUCUGCAGCAGGAGAGGGGCGUGACCCCAGGGACAGCCGGAGAAGACGGUGUAGAACCAGCUGUCACGGAGCCUGAUGUCCGGCCUGGAGCAUCAGCCCAUCACCUUCAGAGUGGACCCGAGGGCCUCACCUGCCACCUGGG
Molecule: long non-coding RNA, 1179 nt
Filed under: Homo sapiens (human)
Lineage: Eukaryota; Metazoa; Chordata; Mammalia; Primates; Hominidae
Description: HSALNT0338830
Source: RNAcentral